AAUUUUUGACAAUGGGGGAAACCCUGAUCCAGCCAUCCCGCGUGUGCGAUGAAGGACAUAGGGUUGUACAGCACUUUUCGCAGAGAAGAAAAGGCUCUGGCUAAUAAUCGCAACUGCUGACGGUACCUGCAGAAUAAGCACCGGCUAACUACGUGCCAGCAGCCGCGGUAAUACGUAGGGUGCAAGCGUUAAGCGGAAUUACUGGGCGUAAAGCGUGCGCAGGCGGUUUGGCAAGAAGGAUGUGAAAUCCCGGGGCUUAACCUCGGAACUGCAUUCUUAACUGCCAGGCUAGAGUAUGUCAGAGGGGGGUAGAAUUCCACGUGUAGCAGUGAAAUGCGUAGAGAUGUGGAGGAAUACCGAUGGCGAAGGCAGCCCCCUGGGAUAAUACUGACGCUCAUGCACGAAAGCGUGGGGAGCAAACA
This 422-nucleotide ribosomal RNA is filed under the name uncultured bacterium. RNAcentral describes it as "partial 16S ribosomal RNA". It matches the Rfam family "Bacterial small subunit ribosomal RNA", at positions 360 to 774 of the family's 1533-position model. The record is from RNAcentral.